Molecule: ribosomal RNA, 497 nt
Filed under: uncultured bacterium
Lineage: Bacteria
Description: partial 16S ribosomal RNA
Rfam family: Bacterial small subunit ribosomal RNA
Source: RNAcentral
GAUGAACGCUGGCGGCGUGCCUAAUACAUGAAAGUCGAGCGAACAGAUGAGGAGCUUGCUCCUCUGACGUUAGCGGCGGACGGGUGAGUAACACGUGGAUAACCUACCUAUAAGACUGGGAUAACUUCGGGAAACCGGAGCUAAUACCGGAUAAUAUAUUGAACCGCAUGGUUCAAUAUUGAAAGACGGUUUUGCUGUCACUUAUAGUUGGAUCCGCGCCGCAUUAGCUAGUUGGUAAGGUAACGGCUUACCAAGGCAACGAUGCGUAGCCGACCUGAGAGGGUGAUCGGCCACACUGGAACUGAGACACGGUCCAGACUCCUACGGGAGGCAGCAGUAGGGAAUCUUCCGCAAUGGGCGAAAGCCUGACGGAGCAACGCCGCGUGAGUGAUGAAGGUCUUCGGAUCGUAAAACUCUGUUAUUAGGGAAGAACAAAUGUGUAAGUAACUAUGCACGUCUUGACGGUACCUAAUCAGAAAGCCACGGCUAACUACGUG